RNAcentral lists this long non-coding RNA (208 nucleotides) under Cavia porcellus (domestic guinea pig). Its description in RNAcentral is "lncRNA (ENSCPOG00000040523.1)". Lineage: Eukaryota; Metazoa; Chordata; Mammalia; Rodentia; Caviidae. The record is from RNAcentral.
CAUGGUGGCGAGAUGGCUGCUGCUGUAAUGCCAAGUAUCCGUCCUCAACAGCAUCCAUGACAGAAGAUUAGAAUUGGAUUUAUUUGAUGGUGCAGUACAUCUACGCAGUGAGAAGGCCAAUUUGACUCAUUCCCAAGUUCAGGAGAGAUAUCUGCACAUCGGCUGUGUAGUAUCUUCAGGGAUGCAUGAAUAUAACCAAAGACAAAUG